Molecule: long non-coding RNA, 2998 nt
Organism: Rhea pennata
Lineage: Eukaryota; Metazoa; Chordata; Aves; Rheiformes; Rheidae
Exons: 6
Source: RefSeq, a predicted model, not a curated record
CCGCUUCACCGGCACCCUGCUUAAAAGAAUAUAUAAUAAUAAUAAUAAACACUCACAGAUGUGAGUGUUGCACCUGGCAGUGGGGGGAAUUGCCGUGCCAAGUGCCAUCGUCACGCCGCCCUUCGCUAAGGAGCUUCGGUGGCGGUGAGAAAAUUGUAGUCCUAAUAAAAAAAUGAAAGCCUUAGGUAAGGCUGGCUUGAGGGAUACCUGCUGGGUACCGGGCCAGGCGCUACAGCAGCGGCCCCACAGGAACUGGCGCCGUUUUCCUUGGCCUCUACCUGAAAUGCAUUGCUUUUUUAUUACAGGGCCUGUUCUAAAAGCAGGCUUUCAGGUUUAAGGACCCUGAUAUUUAAGAGCUAUGUAGCAUGUGAUAUGGAGGAAAAAUUAAGUUUCAGGGACUGAGAAAAUUUAACUCAUUUCACUUGCUAUUGAGCUUACCAAGCUUGAAAGAAGAAUGUGAUAAUCUACUUUGCCAUCAAGCCAUAAUAGCAUUUUUUAAGACAUUAGGCAGUUACUGUUUACUGCCUAAUACACUUCAAAUUUUUCUUUUUUUUUUCCGAUAUCCAGAAUAUGUUAAUGUAUAGCCUGAAUACCCUAACGAUGUUCAAAAUGAUGCCAGUGUGCGUACUCAAAAGGUGAAUGUGUGUGUUACGAACAGUAAGCAAAACAGAAGUGAGCUGAGACAUUUCUUGUAUUUAAUCUUGGUUUCUGGCUUUGCCUGUGGUUUUGAACAAAAUACUCGACUUUUUGCCUUCCUGCUGUUGCCCCCCCACCUUACCCCUCAUAUUCAAAUGAGAACAAAACUUAUGUCACAGGAACGCUGGGAACAUUUUUUUUUUAAGAAAGAAAUUUCUGUGCAACAUGAAACAUUAUUAAAGGAGACACUGCAUACUUUAUAGAGAAGCCCUUGUAAAAGAAAAACAGAAUUCAGAAGAACAACUCAUCCUUCCCCCCAAAAUGAAAAGAUGAAGAUUUGUGAUGAAGAAUCACAAAUAUGAGGUGCAUCCCAGUUUGUAUCCUUGUGAGGACUUCUUCUAUGAUUCAGAAAUAAGCAGUAGGAGCAUUCAGUGAUUUCCAUGAGAGGAAGAUAAAAACCAUCAAGGCCCCAGUUCUCUGCCAUCUUGAGCCUUUCGUGGUAAUUUGCUGCAGCACAGAUAAGUGUGAAACACUGAGAGACUGAAAACAGUGUUUAAACCUGACUUCACUUCAGUGUAAAUGAUCACACAAGGGUCAGAUCAACAGAGAAAAAGGGUAAAAUAGCAAAAGCACGUAAAAUGCCUCUUUUGAAAGUAAUUUUUGAGUAAAGAUGAAGCAGCUGUAUAAAAAAGCCUUUUCUCCACAUACAUCUGUUUACGUAUCCUAACAGAAGAUGACGGACCACAUUAUCUUAUAUGCAAGAUUAUAUCUUAGAUUCAUCAAGCAUGCUAAAAGGAAGAAGCAAAUUAUAUCUGAUACAAAGUUUUUAUCCAAGGAGAAUAAAUGGGUUAAGUUUAAACGGUGGUUUGAAAAUACAGGAAAGCAUUGCUGGACUGCUGACAGCUUGAUUUUGUUGCUGAAGUGGAUGCAAGCUUCUUGCGAAUUUUUUGGCAUGUCCGGAUGUCUUCAGGGAUUUCUGUACUUUGCCCAACUAUAGACGUGAGCUGGUACACGUACAUGUUAUGGUGCUAGACGUUGCAGAUGAGCUGGCUGGCUUGGGUCAUGAAACAGGAUUUUGUCUAGUAUUGCAUUUCCUGAGGCAUCUCACAGUAUGUUAUUUCAGGAGGGAAAAAAAGGCCUUGCCAAGAAUCUCUCAAUGUCAAUCACCAACACCAUCAAUAACAAGUUGUUUUGGGAAGUAGAUCUGCUUUUCUAAAGCAAGGAAGCAAGGCACCUACUUUGCAGUAGCUCGUCAAGACAAAAGAGUGUUUAGCACACAACGGAUCAGGCUGGGAGAACGUUUACUCCCAUCCCUUCUGGCUAGCUGUUGAAUUUUUACUUCCUGCUGCCGCCUCCUCCAGUUUUGUAUUAAUAGAUAAGAUAAAACAUCAACCCAGAGGAAAACAAAUGCACAGAGAAGAAGCCAUGGAGACAAAAAGGAGCAGAAAGACAGAAGAAAUAGGAGAAAGCAGCGAACUGAGGACCAUAAGGUUUGAAAAGAGGCCUUUACGGGCAAGCUUAUAGAUAUAAUGCCAUUUGCUUUGCACUGGUGCAGAGUACUUGUGGGUUUUGUGCAGAGCAUUCCUCCUGGAGCAGGUCUGUCCUUCAGCAGCUCACUUUCCUCAUUUCCAUUAACACCUGUGCCUUUGGCAAUGAAAAAGUUGUACAGACUUUUGCUUAUGGAGCUAAACUACCUGCUGUAUGUACAGCUUGGGUUCAGGGAGUAGAGCAUACACUGACAUGCAGCAACAUUUUGAUAUAACAUCAAACGUGCAUCAGGGAGGAAAGCGCUAAUAUCGUUUAAAUCAAUAAAUGUAAUUGUCAUUUUUGUCCUUUUAGCUUCUGAUGAGCUACUAACAAAGGUUUGUGCUAUUGAUGGCCACUCUUGGCCACUAGAUAUUUAAACUUCUUAUAGAUGGGUAGUGAUAGUUCUUGAAAGCCAGCAGUUACAAUGCUAUAGGAGAAACAGCUUAACAAAAUAAACUAGCCAUUUCCACCUAUGCAGGUUAAUGGAGUCUAAAAUGAAUAAGAUUUACAUUCAUCCUGGCUACACUCCAGACUGUGUGAGGAAUGGCAGUAUUCCCUAAAUUACUGCAAAAGAUGGAAUACGAUUUAAUGCCCAAGAGUCCAUACAAGACCUGUACUGCCAUGUCUCACUCAUUUUCAUACUCUUAAACAUCCCAUUGACAGACAACGUCAACACACACAUGUGAGAAACCUAUCAGGAAGAUUUGUCUUUAAAGGGGCGUUUAAAAAGCCAGGCAGUUAGAUGCAUACAUUUUUUUGGGUAAUAAAGACCUAAGGGUUUUGUUAGUAGCUGUUAAAGAAUAAGCUCAGAAUAAACUGUUGAAGCCGGUACAGA